Molecule: ribosomal RNA, 406 nt
Filed under: uncultured bacterium
Lineage: Bacteria
Description: partial 16S ribosomal RNA
Rfam family: Bacterial small subunit ribosomal RNA
Source: RNAcentral
AUUGAACGCUGGCGGCAGGCCUAACACAUGCAAGUCGAACGAGUGGCGGACGGGUGAGUAAUGCUUGGGAAACUGGCUUAUGGAGGGGGAUAACUACUGGAAACUGUAGCUAAUACCGCAUACCAUCGGAUGAGCCCAGGUGGGAUUAGGUAGUUGGUGGGGUAACGGCUCACCAAGCCGACGAUCCCUAGCUGGUCUGAGAGGCGGACCAGCAAAACUGGGACUGAGACACGGUCCAGACUCCUACGGGAGGCAGCAGUGGGGAAUAUUGCGCAAUGGGCGCAAGCCUGACGCAGCCAUGCCGCGUGAAUGAAGAAGGCCUUCGGGUUGUAAAGUACUUUCGGCGGGGAGGCGUUACCUGCAGAAGAAGCACCGGCUAACUCCGUGCCAGCAGCCGCGGUAAUUC